Molecule: ribosomal RNA, 408 nt
Filed under: uncultured bacterium
Lineage: Bacteria
Description: partial 16S ribosomal RNA
Rfam family: Bacterial small subunit ribosomal RNA
Source: RNAcentral
GACGAACGCUGGCGGCGUGCUUAACACAUGCACGUCGAACGAAGUGGCGAACGGGUGAGUAACGCGUAAUCAACCUGCCCUUCAGAGGGGGACAACAGUUGGAAACGACUGCUAAUACCGCCUACUGAUUGAGGGGAUUGCGUCUGCUUGGCUAGUUGGGGGGGUAACGGCCCACCAAGGCGAUGAACAGUAGCCGGUCUGAGGGGUAGAACAGCCACAUUGGGAAGGAGAAACGGGCCAGACUCCUACAGGAGGCAGCAGUGGGGAAUCUUCAGCAAUGGGCGAAAGUAUGACGGAGCAACGCCGCGUAUGGGAUGACGGCCUUCGGGUUGUAAAGCUCUGUUAAUCGGGACGCGGUACCGGAAGAGAAAGCAACGGCUAACUACGUGCCAGCAGCCACGGUAAUAC